This 473-nucleotide ribosomal RNA is filed under the name uncultured bacterium. Its description in RNAcentral is "bacterial SSU rRNA". It matches the Rfam family "Bacterial small subunit ribosomal RNA", at positions 329 to 793 of the family's 1533-position model. The record is from RNAcentral.
GCAGAGCAUCCUACGGGAGGCUAGCAGUGGGGAAUAUUUGCACAAUGGGCGCAAGCCUGAUGCAGCCAUGCCGCGUGUAUGAAGAAGGCCUUCGGGUUGUAAAGUACUUUCAGCAGUGAGGAAGGUGGGUAUGUUAAUAGCAUACUCAUUUGACGUUAGCUGCAGAAGAAGCACCGGCUAACUCCGUGCCAGCAGCCGCGGUAAUACGGAGGGUGCGAGCGUUAAUCGGAAUUACUGGGCGUAAAGCGCAUGCAGGUGGUUUGUUAAGUCAGAUGUGAAAGCCCGGGGCUCAACCUCGGAAUUGCAUUUGAAACUGGCAAACUAGAGUACUGUAGAGGGGGUAGAAUUUCAGGUGUAGCGGUGAAAUGCGUAGAGAUCUGAAGGAAUACCGGUGGCGAAGGCGGCCCCCUGGACAGAUACUGACACUCAGAUGCGAAAGCGUGGGGAGCAAACAGGAUUAGAUACCCUGGUAG